This 164-nucleotide ribosomal RNA is filed under the name Macledium zeyheri. RNAcentral's name for it is "5.8S ribosomal RNA". It matches the Rfam family "5.8S ribosomal RNA". From Rfam's summary of the family: 5.8S ribosomal RNA (5.8S rRNA) is a component of the large subunit of the eukaryotic ribosome. It is transcribed by RNA polymerase I as part of the 45S precursor that also contains 18S and 28S rRNA. The record is from RNAcentral. Lineage: Eukaryota; Viridiplantae; Streptophyta; Magnoliopsida; Asterales; Asteraceae.
CAAACGACUCUCGGCAACGGAUAUCUCGGCUCAUGCAUCGAUGAAGAACGUAGCAAAAUGCGAUACUUGGUGUGAAUUGCAGAAUCCCGUGAACCAUCGAGUUUUUGAACGCAAGUUGCGCCCGAAGCCAUUUGGCCGAGGGCACGUCUGCCUGGGCGUCACGC